CGAGGAGGAGGAAGAGGAAAAGGAGGAUUGGCUAAACGACGGGGACGGAUGCGACGACGGAGAGACGGAGUCGGAAUGAUGUGGAGAACGUAGAGUGCAGCAUUGUCGGAGAGUCAGAGAGAGCGGCAGAGAGGACCGUUGGUGCGCGCAAAAGAUGCAGGCAAGAAGGGUUGGCACACAUCCGAUCGAUUGGGUGGAGGGUACCGAGAGAGAAAGAGGGCCCCCGGGUUGCAGGCAAAAAAUAGCGUUUUGUGUACCACAGACGCAGGAGGAUACCCUCAUCGAACGCGCCACUAUUUCAUUGAGGUUACGAGAGAGUGAUGGGUGGAGGAAGGCCGCGCACUUUACAGAUGCUACUGGUCUGGUGGUUUAUGAUUGCGGGAGGAGAGAAUAAGA
Caenorhabditis elegans is the source of this 396-nucleotide non-coding RNA. Lineage: Eukaryota; Metazoa; Nematoda; Chromadorea; Rhabditida; Rhabditidae. The record is from Ensembl.